Molecule: long non-coding RNA, 2168 nt
Organism: Equus asinus (donkey)
Lineage: Eukaryota; Metazoa; Chordata; Mammalia; Perissodactyla; Equidae
Source: Ensembl
UUUUUUCUUCUCCUUCUCCCCAAAGCCCCCCAGUACAUAGUUUUAUAUUCUAGUUGUGAGUGCCCCUACUUGUGCUAUGUGGGAUGCCACCUCAGCAUGGCUUCAUGAGCAGUGCCACGUCCGCACCCAGGAUCCGAACCAGCAAAACCCUGGGCCACUGAAGCAGAGCACGUGAACUUAACCACUCAGCCACGGGGCGGCCCCUUUUCCUUUUGUUAUGUUAAGGAGACACAAUCACCAAUCUCCCUGAACCAGACCACACCUCACCAUGAGAGCUCCGCCUAUGACCUUUGCUUAUUCUUAAUGCUAAGACCUCUCCAGGAGGAGCUCAGGCCUUCUUCCCCUACCCUGCAGUGUAUGUGGAAGCCAGUUUUUCAGCUGAGCCUGUGCAAGCAAAUACCCUCCUCUCCCUUUUGAAUAUUCAUUCCCCACCUGAAAUAAAAUGUCCCUGCCUCCCUUUGUUUGGGGACGCCAUGACUUGGGAAAUGAUUCCGCAUCUUCUCCUAUUUGCUGCAUACACUUCACUUUGUGAGACGACUGCUUCUGGUGGACGGUCUGAUUGAACUCAGCAGGAGGGAACCCACUUUGGUUUCGGUAACAGUUUGUCUUUUCAUUCUUUUAACAGUGUCUUUUACAGGGCAAAAGUUUUAAAUAAUAAAGUUGAAACUAUGGUUUUUUCUCUUUCAUGGAUUGUACUGUUGGUAUUGUAUUUAAAAACUCAUCACCAAAUUCAAGGUCAUGAAGAUUUUUCUCCUAUGUUUUCUUCAAGAAGUUUUAUCAUUUUGCAUUUUACGUCUAUGAUCCUUUUUUUGUUUUUUUGAGGAAGAUUAGCCCUGAGCUAACAUCUACCGCCAAUCCUCCUCUUUUUGCUGAGGAAGACUGGCCCUGAGCUAACACCCAUGCCCAUCUUCCUCUACUUUAUACGUGGGACGUCUGCCACAGCAUCGCUUGCCAAGCGGUAUGCAGGUCCACACUUGAGAUCCAAAUCGGCGAACCCCCGGCCACUGAAGCAGAACGUGCAAACUUAACCGCUGUGCCACUGGGCUGGCCCUAUGACCCAUUUGAGAGGAUGUCAUCAGCGCAGUGCCAUCCCCGUGCUCCUGGAGGACGGCGGCUGCAGUGAAGAUCCCAUCUGCAGAGAUGGCGUGUGAGGGCGUAGCUGUCGUGGUGCCCCACGGGCAGCCUGGCUGAGCUGUGUGUGUCCCUUCGGAGGUAAAGGCAAGCUUCAGCUGAGAACCUGUUGAAACAGGCACUAAAUGGAAUGUAUUCGCCAAAUCUAUAAGAGCAAAAUGUGUACUGGGGUGGAGGCUGGGUGGAGGUAGUGAUCGCAACAGCAUUGGAUGCUGGGCGUGGGGGUCUGAGUGGAUCGGACGACAGCAUUACUGUUGCAGUGGGUCCACCAGGAGGCGCCGUAGGGAUAACCACCGCUUUAUUAGUCGGGUUUCAUGUAAGUGUUACUCCCCGGAGGCCCUGUUUCACUUACAUUGGGCCAUAUUCUUUUUUUUUUUUUUUUUGAGGAGGAUUAGCCCUGGGCUGACUACUGCCAGUCCUCCUCUUUUUGCUGAGGAAGACUGGCCCUGAGCUAACAUCCAUGCCCAUCUUCCUCUACUUUAUAUGUGGGACGCCUACCACAGCAUGGUGUGCCAAGCGGUGCCAUGUCUGCACCUGGGAUCCCAACCAGUGAACCCCGGGCCACUGAGAAGCGGAACGUGCGAACUUAACCGCUGCACCACAGGGCCGGCCCCUUAUAUUAACUAUUUUAACUGGGGGUCCAGUUAAUCAAGCCAGUUUGUCAAUGCCAAAAACUUACUUUAAUUUUAAUUUAUUAUUCUUUGUGUUAGCGCAUCUUUGCCUGAUGUGGGAUAUUUUUGGACAAAGAGUACUAUGACUAUGGGAAAUUAGGCAAGGCUGUGGUUCGAGUGAGGUCUGUCUGUUUUCCCUCUGUUUUAUAUUUAGUGACUUCCCAAGGUGAUAGGGACUACGAUGUUUACGUCUAGUGGGAUCCCCAGCUGUGACUCUCCUUUGAGCCCCAGUGUUGAUUAAGGCCGUGAAGUUUGUCAAUGGGUGCAUCUUAGCAAAUAAUUUAGCACCUACGUGCACCCAAGCCAACUGGCACAUUUAAAAAUCUUUUUGUUAUAUAAAUUAUUUUUGUAUAUAGAUAAAUUCUG